Molecule: ribosomal RNA, 377 nt
Filed under: uncultured bacterium
Lineage: Bacteria
Description: bacterial SSU rRNA
Rfam family: Bacterial small subunit ribosomal RNA
Source: RNAcentral
AUACGUAGGGGGCGAGCGUUGUCCGGAAUUACUGGGCGUAAAGGGUGCGUAGGUGGCCUUUUAAGUUGGAUGUGAAAUACCCGGGCUUAACUUGGGGGGUGCAUCCAAAACUGGAGGGCUAGAGUGCAGGAGAGGGAAGCGGAAUUCCUAGUGUAGCGGUGAAAUGCGUAGAUAUUAGGAGGAACACCAGUGGCGAAGGCGGCUUUCUGGACUGUAACUGACACUGAGGCACGAAAGCGUGGGGAGCAAACAGGAUUAGAUACCCUGGUAGUCCACGCUGUAAACGAUGAAUACUAGGUGUAGGGGGUAUCAACUCCCCCUGUGCCGGAGCUAACGCAAUAAGUAUUCCGCCUGGGGAGUACGGCCGCAAGGUUGAA